UACGUAGGGUCCGAGCGUUGUCCGGAGUUACUGGGCGUAAAGCGCGCGCAGGCGGCGGUGUUGGCCCGGCGUGAAAGCCCCCGGCUCAACCGGGGAGAGUCGUCGGGGACCGCACCGCUUGAGGGCGGUAGGGGCUGGUGGAAUGCCUGGUGUAGUGGUGAAAUGCGUAGAGAUCAGGCAGAACACCAGUGGCGAAGGCGACUACCUGGCCUGUUCUUGACGCUGAGGCGCGAAGGCUAGGGGAGCAAACGGG
RNAcentral lists this ribosomal RNA (253 nucleotides) under uncultured bacterium. Its description in RNAcentral is "partial 16S ribosomal RNA". It matches the Rfam family "Bacterial small subunit ribosomal RNA", at positions 524 to 776 of the family's 1533-position model. The record is from RNAcentral.